AAAAGGUAUAUUUAAACUGGUGCGAUAUAUUUUCAAUUGAUUAUGCAAAUUUUGGAUAUGUUUGUAUCGUUUCUUAAUUGUCCAAAUAAAUGGUCCAUGCCUAAAUUCAAUAGUAUACAAAUUUGGAUUCAAUGGAUGUGUUGUUACGCUACGCUCAUUGUCUAUAAUGUCCACAUGCACUUCUUCACCAGGAAUAAAAACAUUACGAUACUGGCUUUUAAAAUUUUUUGGUAAGUCGUGUAUAGCAGAGAAAGGUAUCACACCAGGACGUUCUAGUUUAAAUAAAGUAAACAAUGCACACACUAUUAUCAGUAUCAUUAUUAGAAUUAAUAUUUUCACUUUCAUUUAUAGUAAUUUCUAAUGAAUCAGGUACACCCAAUGUAUCAUCAUAUUCAGGAUCAUGAGAAACACAAUUCUCAGCUUUUUUGUUUAAAAUACUGUCAGACAUUGUUAACAGUAUUUUACAAAAUUAUCAAUAGAUAACUAAACAUAUGUAAUUAAGUUAAACUAGUUUCACAGUGUACUUUUCAUUGCCUUCAACUUAUAAUAACUUUUACAUUAUACUCCUGUUUCUUGCAAUAUCAAAUAAUUUUUUUACAUUACACAAAUUAUCUUUAUUAAUGAGAAAUAGUACAUACAACAGUAGAAG
RNAcentral lists this unclassified non-coding RNA (649 nucleotides) under Bombus terrestris (buff-tailed bumblebee). RNAcentral's name for it is "misc RNA ENSBTSG00005027224.1". Lineage: Eukaryota; Metazoa; Arthropoda; Insecta; Hymenoptera; Apidae. The record is from RNAcentral.